UUGGGGGAAGUGGGAGAAAGUGAUACUCUCUAGACAUCGGACCAGAUCUCCUGGUUGAAAAGCAGACGCAACUCACCAGUCAUGAAAAUUUCCUAAUCAGUGUAAAGACCUGAUAAAGCGACAUUACAAGUGAAUGCUCAAAUACUUGGUGAUUCAGCCCCUUUUGUUUGGUUGGAUUCCUGUACUAAGAAAAUAUUUGAAUUCAUCAGUGUGGCUUUGGGUUUAUGGUUUCUCAUUCUUUUCAUUGCUCUUAGAAUUUCAUGAAAAUAGCUUAGAUCAUGUUGCAAACUAAUUCUCAUAACUGGAUAAAGACAAAAUUAUAACUCAUUCAU
RNAcentral lists this long non-coding RNA (332 nucleotides) under Bos taurus (domestic cattle). RNAcentral describes it as "long non-coding RNA NONBTAT025744". The record is from RNAcentral. Lineage: Eukaryota; Metazoa; Chordata; Mammalia; Artiodactyla; Bovidae.